RNAcentral lists this ribosomal RNA (253 nucleotides) under uncultured bacterium. RNAcentral's name for it is "partial 16S ribosomal RNA". It matches the Rfam family "Bacterial small subunit ribosomal RNA", at positions 524 to 776 of the family's 1533-position model. The record is from RNAcentral.
UACGUAGGGGGCAAGCGUUGUCCGGAAUCAUUGGGCGUAAAGAGCGUGUAGGCGGCCAGGUAGGUCUGCUGUGAAAACUCGAGGCUUAACCUCGAGCUGUCGGCGGAAACCAUCUGGCUAGAGUCCGGAAGAGGAGAAUGGAAUUGCCGGUGUAGUGGUGAAAUGCGUAGAGAUCGGCAGGAACACCCAGGGGGAAACCAGCCGACUGGGCAAGUGCUGACGCUGAGGUGCGAGAGCGUGGGGAGCGAACCGG